UAAUACGAAGGGUGCAAGCGUUACUCGGAAUUACUGGGCGUAAAGCGUGCGUAGGUGGUUGUUUAAGUCUGUCGUGAAAGCCCUGGGCUCAACCUGGGAAUUGCGAUGGAAACUGGGCGACUAGAGUGUGGCAGAGGGUAGUGGAAUUCCUGGUGUAGCAGUGAAAUGCGUAGAGAUCAGGAGGAACAUCCGUGGCGAAGGCGACUGCCUGGGCCAACACUGACACUGAGGCACGAAAGCGUGGGGAGCAAACAGGAUUAGAUACCCUGGUAGUCCACGCCCUAAACGAUGCGAACUGGAUGUUGGGUGCAAUUUGGCACGCAGUAUCGAAGCUAACGCGUUAAGUUCGCCGCCUGGGGAGUACGGUCGCAAGACUGAAACUCAAAUGAAUUGACGG
This 397-nucleotide ribosomal RNA is filed under the name uncultured bacterium. RNAcentral describes it as "bacterial SSU rRNA". It matches the Rfam family "Bacterial small subunit ribosomal RNA", at positions 521 to 916 of the family's 1533-position model. The record is from RNAcentral.